This 27-nucleotide small RNA is filed under the name Bombyx mori (domestic silkworm). Its description in RNAcentral is "ovarian small RNA-13437". Lineage: Eukaryota; Metazoa; Arthropoda; Insecta; Lepidoptera; Bombycidae. The record is from RNAcentral.
CAUUACUGUUGGACCACAUCCAUCGCC